UGCGGCUUAAUUUGACCCAACGCGGGAAAACUCACCAGGUCAGGACACGGUAAGGAUUGACGGACUGAAGGCUCUUUCUCGAUUCCGUGGAAAGUGGUGCAUGGCCGUUUUGGUUGGUGGAUCGAUCCGUCUGGUUAAUUCCGUUAACGAACGAGACCUCGGCACUCCGAAUAGCGCGGCGGACGUCGCGGCCUCCGGGCCGUCUUCCGCACGAGCUUCUUAGAGGGACCGUCCCCCGCCGGGGAAGGAGGUGCGAGGCAACGACAGGUCUGUGAUGCCCUUAGAUGUUCUGGGCCGCACGCGCAUUACACUGACGCGUCCAACGGGUGACUCCCGACCCGAAGGGGCCGGGGAAUCCGCAAGGCGCGUCGUGAUGGGGAUUGAACGUUGCAAUUGUUGUUCACGAACGAGGAAUUCCUAGUAGGCGCGGGUCAUCAACCCGCGCCGA
Molecule: ribosomal RNA, 448 nt
Filed under: uncultured eukaryote
Lineage: Eukaryota
Description: bacterial SSU rRNA
Rfam family: Eukaryotic small subunit ribosomal RNA
Source: RNAcentral